Molecule: transfer RNA, 77 nt
Filed under: Streptomyces yaizuensis
Lineage: Bacteria; Bacillati; Actinomycetota; Actinomycetes; Kitasatosporales; Streptomycetaceae
Description: Streptomyces sp. YSPA8 tRNA-Ser
Rfam family: tRNA
About the family: Transfer RNA (tRNA) molecules are approximately 80 nucleotides in length.
Source: RNAcentral
GCAGGUCCGUAGCUCAGCUCGGCAGAGCGUCCCCCGUGAAGGGGGAAGGCCAGGGGUUCGACUCCCCCCGGACCGCG